This 469-nucleotide ribosomal RNA is filed under the name uncultured bacterium. RNAcentral's name for it is "partial 16S ribosomal RNA". It matches the Rfam family "Bacterial small subunit ribosomal RNA", at positions 28 to 507 of the family's 1533-position model. The record is from RNAcentral.
GAUGAACGCUGGCGGCGUGCUUAACACAUGCAAGUCGAACGGUGAACCCGGAGCUUGCUCUGUGGGAUCAGUGGCGAACGGGUGAGUAACACGUGAGCAACCUGCCCCUGACUCUGGGAUAAGCGCUGGAAACGGCGUCUAAUACUGGAUAUGUGACGUGACCGCAUGGUCUGCGUUUGGAAAGAUUUUUCGGUGGGGGAUGGGCUCGCGGCCUAUCAGCUUGUUGGUGAGGUAAUGGCUCACCAAGGCGUCGACGGGUAGCCGGCCUGAGAGGGUGACCGGCCACACUGGGACUGAGACACGGCCCAGACUCCUACGGGAGGCAGCGGUGGGGAAUAUUGCACAAUGGGCGCAAGCCUGAUGCAGCAACGCCGCGUGAGGGAUGACGGCCUUCGGGUUGUAAACCUCUUUUAGCAGGGAAGAAGCGAAAGUGACGGUACCUGCAGAAAAAGCGCCGGCUAACUACGUG